CAGUCGCCACGGUAAUACGAAGGGGGCUAGCGUUGCUCGGAAUGACUGGGCGUAAAGGGCGCGUAGGCGGUUUGUACAGUUGGAUGUGAAAUUCCUGGGCUUAACCUGGGGGCUGCAUUCAAUACGUGCAGGCUUGAGUGUGGAAGAGGGUUGUGGAAUUCCCAGUGUAGAGGUGAAAUUCGUAGAUAUUGGGAAGAACACCGGUGGCGAAGGCGGCAACCUGGUCCAUUACUGACGCUGAGGCGCGAAAGCGUGGGGAGCAAACAGGAUUAGAUACCCCCGUAGUCCCUGUCUCUUAUAC
Molecule: ribosomal RNA, 301 nt
Filed under: uncultured bacterium
Lineage: Bacteria
Description: partial 16S ribosomal RNA
Rfam family: Bacterial small subunit ribosomal RNA
Source: RNAcentral